GACGAACGCUGGCGGCGUGCUUAACACAUGCAAGUCGAACGGAAAGGCCCUGCUUGCAGGGUACUCGAGUGGCGAACGGGUGAGUAACACGUGGGUGAUCUGCCCUGCACUUCGGGAUAAGCCUGGGAAACUGGGUCUAAUACCGGAUAGGAGCCAUUUUUAGUGUGAUGGUUGGAAAGUUUUUUCGGUGUAGGAUGAGCUCGCGGCCUAUCAGCUUGUUGGUGGGAUAAUGGCCUACCAAGGCGGCGACGGGUAGCCGGCCUGAGAGGGUGGACGGCCACAUUGGGACUGAGAUACGGCCCAGACUCCUACGGGAGGCAGCAGUGGGGAAUAUUGCACAAUGGGCGCAAGCCUGAUGCAGCGACGCCGCGUGGGGGAUGACGGCCUUCGGGUUGUAAACUCCUUUCGCUAGGGACGAAGCUUUUUGUGACGGUACCUAGAUAAGAAGCACCGGCUAACUACGUGCCAGCCGCCGCAGUAA
This 481-nucleotide ribosomal RNA is filed under the name uncultured bacterium. Its description in RNAcentral is "partial 16S ribosomal RNA". It matches the Rfam family "Bacterial small subunit ribosomal RNA", at positions 28 to 523 of the family's 1533-position model. The record is from RNAcentral.